CCUACGGGAGGCAGCAGUGAGGAAUAUUGGUCAAUGGACGAGAGUCUGAACCAGCCAAGUAGCGUGAAGGAUGACUGCCCUAUGGGUUGUAAACUUCUUUUAUAUGGGAAUAAAAUGUUCCACGUGUGGGAUUUUGUAUGUACCAUAUGAAUAAGGAUCGGCUAACUCCGUACCAGCAGCCGCGGUAAUACGGAGGAUCCGAGCGUUAUCCGGAUUUAUUGGGGUUAAAGGGAUCGUAGGUGGAUUGUUAAGUAAGUUGGGAAAGUCUGCGGCUCAACCGUAAAAUUGCAGUUGAUACUGGCAGUCUUGAGUACAGUAGAGGUGGGCGGAAUUCGUGGUGUAGCGGUGAAAUGCUUAGAUAUCACGAAGAACUCCGAUUGCGAAGGCAGCUCACUGGACUGCAACUGACACUGAGGCACGAAAGUGUGGGUAUCAAACAGGAUUAGAUACCCUUGUAGUC
This 460-nucleotide ribosomal RNA is filed under the name uncultured bacterium. RNAcentral describes it as "partial 16S ribosomal RNA". It matches the Rfam family "Bacterial small subunit ribosomal RNA", at positions 338 to 795 of the family's 1533-position model. The record is from RNAcentral.